RNAcentral lists this transfer RNA (72 nucleotides) under Canis lupus familiaris (dog). It matches the Rfam family "tRNA". Rfam says of the family: Transfer RNA (tRNA) molecules are approximately 80 nucleotides in length. Their secondary structure includes four short double-helical elements and three loops (D, anti-codon, and T loops). Further hydrogen bonds mediate the characteristic L-shaped molecular structure. tRNAs have two regions of fundamental functional importance: the anti-codon, which is responsible for specific mRNA codon recognition, and the 3' end, to which the tRNAs corresponding amino acid is attached (by aminoacyl-tRNA synthetases). tRNAs cope with the degeneracy of the genetic code in two manners: having more than one tRNA (with a specific anti-codon) for a particular amino acid; and 'wobble' base-pairing, i.e. permitting non-standard base-pairing at the 3rd anti-codon position. Lineage: Eukaryota; Metazoa; Chordata; Mammalia; Carnivora; Canidae. The record is from Rfam by way of RNAcentral. RNAcentral also lists the same sequence under 1 other name.
ACCUAGCUGGCUCAGUUGUAGAGCAUAUGACUCUUGAUCUCCAGGUCAUGAGUUCAAGUCCCAUGUUGGGUA